GAUGAAGAACGUAGCGAAAUGCGAAAAGUAAUGUGAAUUGCAGAAUUCAGUGAACCAUCGAAUCUUUGAACGCACAUUGCGCCCGCUGGAACUCCGGCGGGCACGCCUGUCCGAGCGUCAUUUCAACCCUCAGGCCCCCCUUCGCGGGCGGGCCUGGUGUUGGGGCCCGGCCGCUACCCUGCGGCCGUCCCCUAAAUCCAGUGGCGGCCUCGCCGUGAUCCCUUGCGUAGUAAUGCACCUCGCACCGGAGAGCGCCGUGGCCACGCCGUAAAACCCCCAAUUUUCAAUGGUUGACCUCGGAUCAGGUGGGAAUACCCGCUGAACUUAAGCAUAUCAAUAAGCGGAGGA
This 348-nucleotide unclassified non-coding RNA is filed under the name soil metagenome. RNAcentral's name for it is "partial contains 5.8S ribosomal RNA, internal transcribed spacer 2, and large subunit ribosomal RNA". The stretch from base 1 to 120 matches the Rfam family "5.8S ribosomal RNA", at positions 35 to 154 of the family's 154-position model. The record is from RNAcentral.